Molecule: ribosomal RNA, 333 nt
Filed under: Corynebacterium striatum
Lineage: Bacteria; Bacillati; Actinomycetota; Actinomycetes; Mycobacteriales; Corynebacteriaceae
Description: partial 23S ribosomal RNA
Rfam family: Bacterial large subunit ribosomal RNA
Source: RNAcentral
AAGAAUGAGCCUGCGAGUCAGCGGCAUGUCGCGAGGUUAACCCGUGUGGGGUAGCCGUAGGGAAACCGAAUCCUAAUGGGGUGUUUAGUGGCAUGUCCUGGACCCGAAGCGGGGUGAUCUACCCAUGGCCAGUGUGAAGCAGCAGUAAGGUGCUGUGGAGGCGCGAACCCACGUAGGUUGAAAACUGCGGGGAUGAGCUGUGGGUAGGGGUGAAAGGCCAAUCAAACUCCGUGAUAGCUGGUUCUCCCCGAAAUGCAUUUAGGUGCAGCGUCGCAUUAGCUUGGUGGAGGUAGAGCUACUGGUUGGUUGAGCGGGACUACAAUCUUAGCAAUG